RNAcentral lists this long non-coding RNA (212 nucleotides) under Mytilus galloprovincialis (Mediterranean mussel). Lineage: Eukaryota; Metazoa; Mollusca; Bivalvia; Mytilida; Mytilidae. The record is from RNAcentral.
CGUGUGCACUCUUGUUUUAUGUAAUAUUGUGUAAACCAGCUUUAAUCAGAUUCUUAUACUAAUCUUCUCCCCUGUCAAUAGAAUAAACAUUAUAUCAAACAAGACGACAGAAUUUAAACACUUUUAUUUCAAUCAAAGUCACACCAUUUGAGAUUCAAAAGAAAAGCAUUCUAAUAUAAUAAUAAUAAUAAUAAUAAUAAUAGUAAAACAAC